GGUCUGGUGGUGUAGUUGGUUAUCACGUCAGUCUAACAGUUCGAAAGCCUUUCGGCUCUCUCGUCUGCCACACUGAAGGUCUCCGGUUCAAGUCCGGGCUAGAUCA
Molecule: transfer RNA, 106 nt
Filed under: Colletotrichum acutatum
Lineage: Eukaryota; Fungi; Ascomycota; Sordariomycetes; Glomerellales; Glomerellaceae
Description: tRNA-Val
Rfam family: tRNA
About the family: Transfer RNA (tRNA) molecules are approximately 80 nucleotides in length. Their secondary structure includes four short double-helical elements and three loops (D, anti-codon, and T loops).
Source: RNAcentral